UUUCUGGCCCUCCCUGUGUUUCCAGCAAAGGCAGUGACAGGGAAAUUUCUGUCUCCGUUGAAGUAUUUAUGAGAUUCAUGUUGGAGGGCAUAACUAAAACUUUGCUGGGGAGAGCCAGGGGUCACUGAGGUGAAUUGAGGGGGGCCAUAAGGGUCUGCCUGCCUUCUUCAAGCCCUCCGGAAGCAUCUCUCCCAAAUUCCUGACCAAGAAGAAAUCAUGCAGCAAAUGGGGAGAAGUAGGGAAGAAACCAUUUUUCAAAGCGUCUCUGCUUUGAGCAACCAGAUGGAAGAGAGGAAAGUUGUGGCCAUCGUUUACCUGCUGAGAUUGGGAGGACGCUGUUGAUGAAAGUCGGCUGAGACACCACAGAGCGGAAAAAAAGCUGAAGAUAAAUUCCCAAAGUCAUUGGAUUCAGGAU
This is a long non-coding RNA of Sapajus apella (tufted capuchin), 415 nucleotides long. RefSeq lists it as uncharacterized. The transcript is spliced from 3 exons. NCBI's taxonomy places the organism in Eukaryota, Metazoa, Chordata, Mammalia, Primates, Cebidae. The record is from RefSeq and is a predicted model, not a curated record.